UACGAAGGGAGCUAGCGUUGUUCGGAAUUACUGGGCGUAAAGGGCGCGUAGGCGGUGAGAUAAGUUUGGUGUGAAAGCCCUGGGCUUAACCUAGGAAUAGCAUUGAAUACUGUCUGACUAGAGACUGAGAGAGGGAAAUGGAAUUGCGAGUGUAGAGGUGAAAUUCGUAGAUAUUCGCAAGAACACCGGUGGCGAAGGCGAUUUCCUGGCUCAGUACUGACGCUAAGGCGCGAAAGCGUGGGGAGCAAACAGG
Molecule: ribosomal RNA, 253 nt
Filed under: uncultured bacterium
Lineage: Bacteria
Description: partial 16S ribosomal RNA
Rfam family: Bacterial small subunit ribosomal RNA
Source: RNAcentral